Molecule: ribosomal RNA, 301 nt
Filed under: uncultured bacterium
Lineage: Bacteria
Description: partial 16S ribosomal RNA
Rfam family: Bacterial small subunit ribosomal RNA
Source: RNAcentral
CAGUCGCCGCGGGAAUACGUAGGUCCCGAGCGUUGUCCGGAUUUAUUGGGCGUAAAGGGAGCGCAGGCGGUUUAGUAAGUCUGAAGUUAAAGGCAUUGGCUCAACCAAUGUAUGCUUUGGAAACUGUUAGACUUGAGUGCAGAAGGGGAGAGUGGAAUUCCAUGUGUAGCGGUGAAAUGCGUUGAGAUCGGAAAGAACACCAACGGCGAAAGCACUCUGCUGGGCCGACACUGACACUGAGAGACGAAAGAUAGGGGAGCAAAUGGGAUUAGAUACCCCCGUAGUCCCUGUCUCUUAUACA